ACGCUGGCGGCGUGCCUAAUACAUGCAAGUAGAACGCUGAAGGAGGAGCUUGCUUCUCUGGAUGAGUUGCGAACGGGUGAGUAACGCGUAGGUAACCUGCCUGGUAGCGGGGGAUAACUAUUGGAAACGAUAGCUAAUACCGCAUAACAGUAGAUGUUGCAUGACAUUUGCUUAAAAGGUGCAAUUGCAUCACUACCAGAUGGACCUGCGCUGUAUUGGCUAGUUGGUGGGGUAACGGCUCACCAAGGCGACGAUACAUAGCCGACCUGAGAGGGUGAUCGGCCACACUGGGACUGAGACACGGCCCAGACUCCUACGGGAGGCAGCAGUAGGGAAUCUUCGGCAAUGGACGGAAGUCUGACCGAGCAACGCCGCGUGAGUGAAGAAGGUUUUCGGAUCGUAAAGCUCUGUUGUAAGAGAAGAACAGGUGUGAGAGUGGAAAGUUCACACUGUGACGGUAUCUUACCAGAAAGGGACGGCUAACUACGUGCCAGCAGCCGCGGUAAUACGUAGGUCCCGAGCGUUGUCCGGAUUUAUUGGGCGUAAAGCGAGCGCAGGCGGUUAGAUAAGUCUGAAGUUAAAGGCUGUGGCUUAACCAUAGUACGCUUUGGAAACUGUUUAACUUGAGUGCAAGAGGGGAGAGUGGAAUUCCAUGUGUAGCGGUGAAAUGCGUAGAUAUAUGGAGGAACACCGGUGGCGAAAGCGGCUCUCUGGCUUGUAACUGACGCUGAGGCUCGAAAGCGUGGGGAGCAAACAGGAUUAGAUACCCCUGGUAGUCCACGCCGUAAACGAUGAGUGCUAGGUGUUAGACCCUUUCCGGGGUUUAGUGCCGCAGCUAACGCAUUAAGCACUCCGCCUGGGGAGUACGACCGCAAGGUUGAAACUCAAAGGAAUUGACG
This 899-nucleotide ribosomal RNA is filed under the name uncultured bacterium. RNAcentral's name for it is "bacterial SSU rRNA". It matches the Rfam family "Bacterial small subunit ribosomal RNA", at positions 33 to 915 of the family's 1533-position model. The record is from RNAcentral.